Molecule: ribosomal RNA, 463 nt
Filed under: uncultured bacterium
Lineage: Bacteria
Description: partial 16S ribosomal RNA
Rfam family: Bacterial small subunit ribosomal RNA
Source: RNAcentral
GACGAACGCUGGCGGCGUGCUUAACACAUGCAAGUCGAACGGAAAGGCCUUUUCGGAGGUACUCGAGUGGCGAACGGGUGAGUAACACGUGGGUGAUCUGCCCUGCACUCUGGGAUAAGCCUGGGAAACUGGGUCUAAUACCGGAUAGGACCGCACUUUAGCGUGUGUGGUGGAAAGUUUUUUCGGUGUAGGAUGAGCCCGCGGCCUAUUAGCUUGUUGGUGGGGUAAUGGUCUACCAAGGCGGCGACGGGCAGCCGGACUGAGUGGUUGGUCGGCCACAUUGAGACUGAGAUACGGCCCAGACUCCUACGGGAGGCAGCAGUGGGGAAUAUUGCACAAUGGGCGCAAGCCUGAUGCAGCGACGCCGCGUGGGGGAUGACGGCCUUCGGGUUGUGAACUCCUUUCGCCAGGGACGAAGCGUUUUGUGACGGUACCUGGAGAAGAAGCACCGGCUAACUACGUG